GUAGCUUUAUUUAUAGAGCUUGGCUGCUAAUCAAAAGGUUGGCAGUUCGAAUCUGCCUAGCUGCU
Molecule: transfer RNA, 65 nt
Filed under: Loxodonta africana (African savanna elephant)
Lineage: Eukaryota; Metazoa; Chordata; Mammalia; Proboscidea; Elephantidae
Rfam family: tRNA
About the family: Transfer RNA (tRNA) molecules are approximately 80 nucleotides in length. Their secondary structure includes four short double-helical elements and three loops (D, anti-codon, and T loops). Further hydrogen bonds mediate the characteristic L-shaped molecular structure. tRNAs have two regions of fundamental functional importance: the anti-codon, which is responsible for specific mRNA codon recognition, and the 3' end, to which the tRNAs corresponding amino acid is attached (by aminoacyl-tRNA synthetases). tRNAs cope with the degeneracy of the genetic code in two manners: having more than one tRNA (with a specific anti-codon) for a particular amino acid; and 'wobble' base-pairing, i.e. permitting non-standard base-pairing at the 3rd anti-codon position.
Source: Rfam by way of RNAcentral